GGCCGCGGGAAUUCGAGUCAGGCCUAACACAUGCAAGUCGAACGGCAGCACGGGUGCUUGCACCUGGUGGCGAGUGGCGAACGGGUGAGUAAUAUAUCGGAACGUACCUUAUCGUGGGGGAUAACGCAGCGAAAGCUGUGCUAAUACCGCAUAAGCCCUAAGGGGGAAAGCAGGGGACCGUAAGGCCUUGCGCGAUUAGAGCGGCCGAUACCUGAUUAGCUAGUUGGUGAGGUAAAGGCUCACCAAGGCAACGAUCAGUAGCUGGUCUGAGAGGACGAUCAGCCACACUGGGACUGAGACACGGCCCAGACUCCUACGGGAGGCAGCAGUGGGGAAUUUUGGACAAUGGGGGCAACCCUGAUCCAGAAAGGCCGCGUGAGUGAAGAAGGCCUUCGGGUUGAAAUUAAAGGGGUCAGGGAAGAAACAGCAGCUCUAAUACAGU
Molecule: ribosomal RNA, 442 nt
Filed under: uncultured bacterium
Lineage: Bacteria
Description: bacterial SSU rRNA
Rfam family: Bacterial small subunit ribosomal RNA
Source: RNAcentral